GACGAACGCUGGCGGCGUGCCUAAUACAUGCAAGUAGAACGCUGAAGGAGGAGCUUGCUUCUCUGGAUGAGUUGCGAACGGGUGAGUAACGCGUAGGUAACCUGCCUGGUAGCGGGGGAUAACUAUUGGAAACGAUAGCUAAUACCGCAUAACAGUAGAUAUCGCAUGAUAUCUACUUGAAAGGUGCAAUUGCAUCACUACCAGAUGGACCUGCGUUGUAUUAGCUAGUUGGUGAGGUAACGGCUCACCAAGGCGACGAUACAUAGCCGACCUGAGAGGGUGAUCGGCCACACUGGGACUGAGACACGGCCCAGACUCCUACGGGAGGCAGCAGUAGGGAAUCUUCGGCAAUGGACGGAAGUCUGACCGAGCAACGCCGCGUGAGUGAAGAAGGUUUUCGGAUCGUAAAGCUCUGUUGUAAGAGAAGAACGAGUGUGAGAGUGGAAAGUUCCCACUGUGACGGUAUCUUACCAGAAAGGGACGGCUAACUACGUG
Molecule: ribosomal RNA, 495 nt
Filed under: uncultured bacterium
Lineage: Bacteria
Description: partial 16S ribosomal RNA
Rfam family: Bacterial small subunit ribosomal RNA
Source: RNAcentral